This 301-nucleotide ribosomal RNA is filed under the name uncultured bacterium. RNAcentral's name for it is "partial 16S ribosomal RNA". It matches the Rfam family "Bacterial small subunit ribosomal RNA", at positions 509 to 807 of the family's 1533-position model. The record is from RNAcentral.
CAGCAGCCGCGGUAAUACGUAGGGUGCAAGCGUUAAUCGGAAUUACUGGGCGUAAAGCGUGCGCAGGCAGUUAUGCAAGACAGAUGUGAAAUCCCCGGGCUCAACCUGGGAACUGCAUUUGUGACUGCAUGGCUGGAGUGCGGCAGAGGGGGAUGGAAUUCCGCGUGUAGCAGUGAAAUGCGUAGAUAUGCGGAGGAACACCGAUGGCGAAGGCAAUCCCCUGGGCCUGCACUGACGCUCAUGCACGAAAGCGUGGGGAGCAAACAGGAUUAGAUACCCGCGUAGUCCCUGUCUCUUAUAC